Molecule: long non-coding RNA, 742 nt
Filed under: Homo sapiens (human)
Lineage: Eukaryota; Metazoa; Chordata; Mammalia; Primates; Hominidae
Description: HSALNT0072506
Source: RNAcentral
CUCCUACCUCCUCUUCAGGAAGACAGCUGUGAGAGAUACUUUAUGGCUCUUUAGAAUAUCCCAGCAGCAUCAAGCCUUGGGCAUUCACAAUGACGAUCAACUUGAUAACAUGGCCUUUUCUCCCUUCUUUCUCUUCUGUUUUCUAGAUUGUCUCUUAAGUAAGCUGUCUUAAGGGGCCAUCCGGGAUUAGUCUUGCCUGUUACAUGCUUCAUUGGAAGUUCUUAAGGCUACAGUUGGGCUUGAAGAUUUGCAAGAAAGACUCACAGAACUCAAAAGAGCUGGCUUUAAGAUAUCUUGAAACCAGGAAGAGCUUGCUGAAGGGCGGACAUGACUAUGUCUGUCAUUGUAAAAGAACGGCCCUGAUGAUAAAUUGAUAAUUUGACUGAAGAACUCUCUUUAGCACUUUUUUGUAGAAAAGACCUGGUGUUGAUGAAGUUCUUCAGCUUUUGUCUGGAUGCUGCUAGGAACGUUGUGUCCUGUCUGUGAGCUCCUAUGUGCUGAGCAAAUGAACAUAGCAUGUGACUUUUGGAAGAAUGAUUCAGAGACCACUUUGGAAAAAAGAUGUGCUUUUACCAGACACAAAUGAAGAUCACAUGAUUUGUCCAGUGUUUCCUCCAAGCCCUCAAAUUGUAAGAGAACCCAAGUCACUAAACGUCAAAGGACAUGCCAAUAUGGAAGAAGCCCAGAGGUCCAGGGACAGGGCCUCAAGACGGAAGAAGUAUGAUACCCUACAAGAAGCAAG